This 253-nucleotide ribosomal RNA is filed under the name uncultured bacterium. Its description in RNAcentral is "partial 16S ribosomal RNA". It matches the Rfam family "Bacterial small subunit ribosomal RNA", at positions 524 to 776 of the family's 1533-position model. The record is from RNAcentral.
UACGGGGGGGGCAAGCGUUGUUCGGAAUUACUGGGCGUAAAGGGCUCGUAGGUGGCCAACUAAGUCGGACGUGAAAUCCCUCGGCUUAACCGGGGAACUGCAUCCGAUACUGGAUGGCUUGAGUUCGGGAGAGGGAUGCGGAAUUCCAGGUGUAGCGGUGAAAUGCGUAGAUAUCUGGAGGAACACCGGUGGCGAAGGCGGCAUCCUGGACCGACACUGACGCCGAGGAGCGAAAGCCAGGGGAGCAAACGGG